UUUACAGCAGCUGGUGAUUUUGUGCUGGCUUUAUGAAGUAUAUUGCUUUUAUUUCUACUUUUGUUUCUUCAUAGGGGUUUUUUAUGUGCUCUCUCUAUUUAUUCUUUAUGGUUUGUCUUUUAUUUUUAAAUGUUGUGUUCACUACCCAGUGCACUCUAUCGUGCUUUGCAUUUAGAACCGAAUGCAAUUAUUUUAGUAACUUUUGAAGAACAAGCUAGGAAAGAAUUAUUUUGCAAACUGUAACUGUUCAGGUAUCAUUGGGCUUAUGUAACUAAUUACUUUUAAAAGUAACUUUUAAAGCUCUAUGUAGAACGUGUGUUAUGCUUCUCUCCAAGCAGCGAUCAUUAGUGUUUGGGCUGUCAUGGGAAUCUUUUACAUCCAUUUAUCAUACCCCAUGCUGAAAGCUUAGGGUGGGUAACAAAUUAAGACUGUAAAAUGUCAAAUUAAAAUAGCUAAAAUACAACAAGUGCUAAAUCCUCUGAUCCUCUGUGAGCUUAGCUUGAAAGCUAGCACAAGAUCUCUUCAAAGCAUCAUCCCUCUCUUCCCUUUCAUGGCUCUUUAUGUUUAGAAAUAUUCAUAGAGGUUCAACGGACUAGAAUUUAGAACAGGGAAAACCACAGAUGCCAAGAAGCCAGACUGCUCGGAUUUGGCACCAAUCAGCUUCAGCCAGCUGUGUCCCCCCCCCAAAAAAAACACAAUUGGGCACCACAUUGUGGGCUGCAAGAGUAGACAUGUUUCCUGUUUUAACGCUUCUGCCUCCCAUGCAUUUUGAUGAGGCCAAGUGCUAAUUGUUUCUUCCCUCCUACAGUGGUUUCUUCCAAAUGUAAGGAAAUGUAUCAUGAAUGCAAUGAUCUGAAACAACUAGGGUUUCCAUGGGAUGCAUUAGAAAAAUAAACUGGUGCACACCCAUGACAGGUCGAUGAUUCAGGGAAGACAUGGCACACAUUCAUACAGCUUCUGCUUUAGAUGCUGUUGUGAGCAGCAUUCUUCCAAAGCCUGCUCAGAGACUAUUGGCUCUCAAAAAGAGCAUGGUGUGUCUGUAUGUGUGUGUGUUCUGUGCUGGAACCGACUUACAGAGACCAUAAUACGGCUUUCCAGGUAAGUGAAAUGUUUAAGGAAUGGUUUUACUAGUUUCACUCUACCAGUCAGUUUUUAUGGCCAUACUGGGGAUUUGAACCCUGUUUUCCAGAGUCUUAUUCCACACUGUAUCCAUUACACCACACUGAGAAUCUAUUUAUUAUUUAUUUAUUCAACUUCUAUACCGCCCAUCUAGCUACCAAGGCCACCCUGAGCAGUGCACAACAUGAUUAAACAAAGUAAAACAAUCUAAAGUAAUAUGCGUUACUAAAUGACCUAAAUAAGUAUCUACUUCUGGCUGUUGUGACUAGUAAGAUGACUUCUCCU
RNAcentral lists this long non-coding RNA (1404 nucleotides) under Pogona vitticeps (central bearded dragon). RNAcentral describes it as "lncRNA (ENSPVIG00000009533.1)". Lineage: Eukaryota; Metazoa; Chordata; Lepidosauria; Squamata; Agamidae. The record is from RNAcentral.